GUUUGUCGCGUUGUUCGUGAAAUCUCACGGCCUAACUGUGAGCGUGCGGGCGAUACGGGCAGACUUGAGUACUGCAGGGGAGACUGGAAUUCCUGGUGUAGCGGUGGAAUGCGCAGAUAUCAGGAGGAACACCGGUGGCGAAGGCGGGUCUCUGGGCAGUAACUGACGCUGAGGAGCGAAAGCGUGGGGAGCGAACAGGAUUAGAUACCCUGGUAGUCCACGCCGUAAACGGUGGGUACUAGGUGUGGGUUUCCUUCCUUGGGAUCCGUGCCGUAGCUAACGCAUUAAGUACCCCGCCUGGGGAGUACGGCCGCAAGGCUAAAACUCAAAGAAAUUGACGGGGGCCCGCACAAGCGGCGGAGCAUGUGGAUUAAUUCGAUGCAACGCGAAGAACCUUACCUGGGUUUGACAUGCACAGGACGCCGGCAGAGAUGUCGGUUCCCUUGUGGCCUGUGUGCAGGUGGUGCAUGGCUGUCGUCAGCUCGUGUCGUGAGAUGUUGGGUUAAGUCCCGCAACGAGCGCAACCCUUGUCUCAUGUUGCCAGCGGGUAAUGCCGGGGACUCGUGAGAGACUGCCGGGGUCAACUCGGAGGAAGGUGGGGAUGACGUCAAGUCAUCAUGCCCCUUAUGUCCAGGGCUUCACACAUGCUACAAUGGCCGGUACAAAGGGCUGCGAUGCCGCGAGGUUAAGCGAAUCCUUUUAAAGCCGGUCUCAGUUCGGAUCGGGGUCUGCAACUCGACCCCGUGAAGUCGGA
RNAcentral lists this ribosomal RNA (754 nucleotides) under uncultured bacterium. Its description in RNAcentral is "bacterial SSU rRNA". It matches the Rfam family "Bacterial small subunit ribosomal RNA", at positions 578 to 1330 of the family's 1533-position model. The record is from RNAcentral.